AUUUCAUAUAAACAAUCGUCCAGAUUCAAGCCUACGAAAUAUGUCUCGUUUUGAAGACAUCCAAUAAAAUGGCCCGAAAACAUUGCUAGAUCGAUAAUACGCAGUUUGGACGAAAUUUUGUCACCUGAAUUGUAUGUUCGUGAAUAUGAAUAUCUACACUUUCGAUAGACACCAAUUAACAGUUCUAAAAGAAUCAUAAAUUAAUGCAUUCUAUGAUUCAUCAAGUCAAGCCAUUUCCGUUUGUGUACAAGGACAAUAUGGAAUCAAAAAUGACAUAAAUUCUUAGAGUCUCUAAUGAAACUCUGAUAUGUGGAUGCAUAACAUGAAUGCUGUUCAAACAAAAUGACUCUGAGAAUUGGAUAAGGAUCCUGAUAUCGUUUUAUAAUU
Long non-coding RNA from Malaya genurostris, 387 nucleotides. RefSeq lists it as uncharacterized. The record is from RefSeq and is a predicted model, not a curated record. Lineage: Eukaryota; Metazoa; Arthropoda; Insecta; Diptera; Culicidae. The transcript is spliced from 3 exons.